AACGAACGCUGGCGGCAUGCCUAACACAUGCAAGUCGAACGAGACCUUCGGGUCUAGUGGCGCACGGGUGCGUAACGCGUGGGAAUCUACCCUCAGGUUCGGAAUAACUCAGAGAAAUUUGAGCUAAUACCGGAUGAUGACGUAAGUCCAAAGAUUUAUCGCCUGAGGAUGAGCCCGCGUAGGAUUAGGUAGUUGGUGAGGUAAAGGCUCACCAAGCCGACGAUCCUUAGCUGGGCUGAGAGGAUGAUUAGCCACACUGGGACUGAGACACGGCCGAGACUACUACGGGAGGCAGCAGUGGGGAAUAUUGGACAAUGGGCGAAAGCAUGAUCCAGCAAUGCCGCGUGAGUGAUGAAGGCCUUAGGGUAGUAAAGCUCUUUUAUCCGGGAUGAUAAUGACAGUACCGGGAGAAUAAGCACCGGCUAACUCCGUG
RNAcentral lists this ribosomal RNA (433 nucleotides) under uncultured bacterium. RNAcentral's name for it is "partial 16S ribosomal RNA". It matches the Rfam family "Bacterial small subunit ribosomal RNA", at positions 29 to 507 of the family's 1533-position model. The record is from RNAcentral.